RNAcentral lists this ribosomal RNA (465 nucleotides) under Methylobacterium sp. TJ1. RNAcentral describes it as "bacterial SSU rRNA". It matches the Rfam family "Bacterial small subunit ribosomal RNA", at positions 297 to 779 of the family's 1533-position model. Lineage: Bacteria; Pseudomonadati; Pseudomonadota; Alphaproteobacteria; Hyphomicrobiales; Methylobacteriaceae. The record is from RNAcentral.
AGGAUGAUCAGCCACACUGGGACUGAGACACGGCCCAGACUCCUACGGGAGGCAGCAGUGGGGAAUAUUGGACAAUGGGCGCAAGCCUGAUCCAGCCAUGCCGCGUGAGUGAUGAAGGCCUUAGGGUUGUAAAGCUCUUUCGGCGGGGACGAUAAUGACGGUACCCGCAGAAGAAGCCCCGGCUAACUUCGUGCCAGCAGCCGCGGUAAUACGAAGGGGGCUAGCGUUGUUCGGAAUUACUGGGCGUAAAGCGCGCGUAGCCGGCUUGAUAAGUCGGGGGUGAAAGCCUGUGGCUCAACCACAGAAUUGCCUUCGAUACUGUCUGGCUUGAGACCGGAAGAGGUAAGUGGAAUUCCGAGUGUAGAGGUGAAAUUCGUAGAUAUUCGCAAGAACACCAGUGGCGAAGGCGGCUUACUGGUCCGGUUCUCACGCUGAGGCGCGAAAGCGUGGGCAGCAAACAGGAUU